This 253-nucleotide ribosomal RNA is filed under the name uncultured bacterium. RNAcentral describes it as "partial 16S ribosomal RNA". It matches the Rfam family "Bacterial small subunit ribosomal RNA", at positions 524 to 776 of the family's 1533-position model. The record is from RNAcentral.
UACGAGUGCUCCAAGCGUUAUCCGGAAUCAUUGGGCGUAAAGGGUGUGUAGGCGGUUGUGUUAGUCUUUUGUUAAAUUCUUCGGCUUAACCGGGGGCAUGCAAGAGAAACGGCACAACUAGAGGAUGCGAGAGGUAUAUGGAACUCAUGGAGUAGGGGUGAAAUCCGUUGAUAUCAUGGGGAACACCAAAAGCGAAGGCAAUAUACUGGCGCACUCCUGACGCUGAGACACGAAAGCGUAGGUAGCGAAUGGG